GAUGAACGCUGGCGGCGUGCCUAAUACAUGCAAGUCGAGCGAACAGACGAGGAGCUUGCUCCUCUGACGUUAGCGGCGGACGGGUGAGUAACACGUGGAUAACCUACCUAUAAGACUGGGAUAACUUCGGGAAACCGGAGCUAAUACCGGAUAAUAUAUUGAACCGCAUGGUUCAAUAGUGAAAUACGGUUUUGCUGUCACUUAUAGAUGGAUCCGCGCCGCAUUAGCUAGUUGGUAAGGUAACGGCUUACCAAGGCAACGAUGCGUAGCCGACCUGAGAGGGUGAUCGGCCACACUGGAACUGAGCCACGCUCCAGACUCCUACGGGAGGCAGCAGUAGGGAAUCUUCCGCAAUGGGCGAAAGCCUGACGGAGCAACGCCGCGUGAGUGAUGAAGGUCUUCGGAUCGUAAAACUCUGUUAUUAGGGAAGAACAAAUGUGUAAGUAACUAUGCACGUCUUGACGGUACCUAAUCAGAAAGCCACGGCUAACUACGUG
RNAcentral lists this ribosomal RNA (497 nucleotides) under uncultured bacterium. RNAcentral describes it as "partial 16S ribosomal RNA". It matches the Rfam family "Bacterial small subunit ribosomal RNA", at positions 28 to 507 of the family's 1533-position model. The record is from RNAcentral.